This 396-nucleotide ribosomal RNA is filed under the name uncultured bacterium. RNAcentral describes it as "bacterial SSU rRNA". It matches the Rfam family "Bacterial small subunit ribosomal RNA", at positions 957 to 1353 of the family's 1533-position model. The record is from RNAcentral.
UAACGCGAAGAACCUUACCAGGUUCUUGACUUCUUCUGCUAACCUAAGAGAUUAGGCGUUCCCUUCGGGGACGGAAUGACAGGUGGUGCAUGGUUGUCGUCAGCUCGUGUCGUGAGAUGUUGGGUUAAGUCCCGCAACGAGCGCAACCCUUAUUGUCAGUUGCCAGCAUUUAGUUGGGCACUCUGGCGAGACUGCCGGUGACAAACCGGAGGAAGGUGGGGAUGACGUCAAAUCAUCAUGCCCCUUAUGACCUGGGCUACACACGUGCUACAAUGGACGGUACAACGAGUCGCGAAACCGCGAGGUCAAGCUAAUCUCUUAAAGCCGUUCUCAGUUCGGAUUGUAGGCUGCAACUCGCCUACAUGAAGUUGGAAUCGCUAGUAAUCGUGGAUCAGC